CGUGAGUGACCUUCCUUGGUCUCUGGGAUAAGCCCGGGAAACUGGGUCUAAUACCGGAUACGACCAGUCCUCGCAUGGGUUGCUGGUGGAAAGGGUUUGUACUGGUUCUUGAUGGGCUCARGUCCUAUCAGCUUGUUGGUGAGGUAAUGGCUUACCAAGGCGACGACGGGUAGCCGGCCUGAGAGGGUGACCGGCCACACUGGGACUGAGACACGGCCCAGACUCCUACGGGAGGCAGCAGUGGGGAAUAUUGCACAAUGGGCGCAAGCCUGAUGCAGCGACGCCGCGUGGGGGAUGACGGCCUUCGGGUUGUAAACCUCUUUCAGCAGGGAAGAAGCGAAAGUGACGGUACCUGCAGAAGAAGCGCCGGCUAACUACGUGCCAGCAGCCGCGGUAAUACGUAGGGCGCAAGCGUUGUCCGGAAUUAUUGGGCGUAAAGAGCUCGUAGGCGGUUUGUCGCGUCUGCUGUGAAAGCCCGGGGCUCAACCCCGGGUGUGCAGUGGGUACGGGCAGGCUGGAGUGCAGUAGGGGAGACUGGAAUUCCUGGUGUAGCGGUGAAAUGCGCAGAUAUCAGGAGGAACACCGAUGGCGAAGGCAGGUCUCUGGGCUGUUACUGACGCUGAGGACCGAAAGCAUGGGGAGCGAACAGGAUUAGAUACCCUGGUAGUCCAUGCCGUAAACGUUGGGCACUAGGUGUGGGGGACAUUCCACGUUUUCCGCGCCGUAGCUAACGCAUUAAGUGCCCCGCCUGGGGAGUACGGCCGCAAGGCUAAAACUCAAAGGAAUUGACGGGGGCCCGCACAAGCGGCGGAGCAUGCGGAUUAAUUCGAUGCAACGCGAAGAACCUUACCAAGGCUUGACAUACACCGGAUCGCAGCAGAGAUGUUGUUUCCCUUCGGGGCUGGUGUACAGGUGGUGCAUGGUUGUCGUCAGCUCGUGUCGUGAGAUGUUGGGUUAAGUCCCGCAACGAGCGCAACCCUCGUUCUAUGUUGCCAGCACGUUAUGGUGGGGACUCAUAGGAGACUGCCGGGGUCAACUCGGAGGAAGGUGGGGAUGACGUCAAAUCAUCAUGCCCCUUAUGUCUUGGGCUUCACGCAUGCUACAAUGGCCGGUACAAUGGGUUGCGAUACUGUGAGGUGGAGCUAAUCCCAAAAAGCCGGUCUCAGUUCGGAUUGGGGUCUGCAACUCGACCCCAUGAAGUCGGAGUCGCUAGUAAUCGCAGAUCAUCAACGCUGCGGUGAAUACGUUCCCGGGCCUUGUACACACCGCCCGUCAAGUCACGAAAGUUGGUAACACCCGAAGCCGAUG
This 1308-nucleotide ribosomal RNA is filed under the name Rothia sp. (in: high G+C Gram-positive bacteria). RNAcentral describes it as "bacterial SSU rRNA". Lineage: Bacteria; Bacillati; Actinomycetota; Actinomycetes; Micrococcales; Micrococcaceae. The record is from RNAcentral.